AUGACUACAACAAGAUCUCCUUCAAGGAGCAGGUGCCCGUGCCCUUGGAGGAGGUGCUGCUGGAUGCCUCUCCCCAGGCUUUGGUCUUUCUGGGGAGGUUCCUCCUCUACCCUCCACUCCAGCGCAUUGCAGCCUCCCAGCUCCCUCCCAUCAUCAACUCAAGACCUAAGAUACCGGAAAAGCAUCUCUUCUCUCCUCCUUUUUCUUCCUCUGGCUGGUCCUGACCAGAGGGCCCUAGUGAGAGCGGCUCCUGAUAAUGUCAGGAUCUUCUUCGGAACCUGCAGCAUAAUUCAUUUUCCCCGGAAUGGAUGUGGAGCCUCCCCGUACUUCCAAAUUGGGCUGCACCAACUCUGAGACUUCUGUGUUCCAUUUUCUCAACGCUCCAAUGAAUUGUCAAGACAAAGCUUUGUGUCAAGAUAGAGAAGCGUCUUUUCCCAGGCCUGCAUUUCUGGCUGGGAAACAGGAGCCCAAAUCCUAAAUGUGUCUAUUUGGUCAGCUUACAGUCCAAACAGCG
Molecule: long non-coding RNA, 514 nt
Filed under: Sus scrofa (pig)
Lineage: Eukaryota; Metazoa; Chordata; Mammalia; Artiodactyla; Suidae
Description: lncRNA (ENSSSCG00070013004.1)
Source: RNAcentral